CUAUGCGGCUUCGUCACUGUGUCCUUAUGUGUCGUAUUGGAGCCUGGUUGUGAAUUCUGCCUUGGUAGUAGUCAGUAUCCAGUGGGUCCAUAUGUCCGUGUACCUAUUCAAGGAGUUGGGUGUGGUCAUAAUGAGUUCCUCUAUGGCUCUGAGUUCCUCCAUUUGGGAGAACCAGGAUGUCAACGGGGGUGUCGUUUGUUGCUUCCAGAAUUGAGGGAUCACCUGUUUGGCAACGUUUAGGAUUCUAAUGGUUAGUGAGUGCUUGUAUCUCGUUCUAGGUGACUUUGUAUGGUGAAGGAGCAUGUGUUCUGGGAGGAAGGGGGGUGGCGUGUCUGAGAAGGUUUUGAGAAAGCCGUGUAUACCCCGCCAGAAGGGCUUUAUGGCUUCGCAGGCCCACCAAAGGUGGAGUACUGUGCCGGCCUCUCUAUUACACCUCCAGCAGAGAUCCGUGUGUUCCGGGUCCAUGGCAUGGAGUGCAAUCGGGGUGCGGUACCAGUUCGUUAACAAUUUAAACGCCGUUUCUUGUGUUUUGCUGAAGACUGAGCAGUGAUGCGUUAAGUAGCAUAUCUUUUCCCAGUCCCCAUCUGUGAAAGUUUUCCCCAAUGUUUGUUCCCA
This is a non-coding RNA of Pelobates cultripes (western spadefoot toad), 615 nucleotides long. Lineage: Eukaryota; Metazoa; Chordata; Amphibia; Anura; Pelobatidae. The record is from the annotation of a GenBank genome assembly.